Long non-coding RNA from Tympanuchus pallidicinctus (lesser prairie-chicken), 510 nucleotides. RefSeq lists it as uncharacterized. The transcript has 4 exons. The record is from RefSeq and is a predicted model, not a curated record. NCBI's taxonomy places the organism in Eukaryota, Metazoa, Chordata, Aves, Galliformes, Phasianidae.
CUGCUUUCUGUGAGGGGUUGUUCUGUAGAUAGAGAUCCUUUCACCAGUUGGGCCCUUUUAUUUUCUUGGGCUGCUGCUAAUCAGUAACUACAUUUUCCUGACUUCGGGGUCAUUACUGUGUUUCCUUUGCUGUAAGGAUUUAAAAGGGCUUUCCUAUCACUGACAAAUACCAAACCAGCUGCAGAAUGGAUCAGUAUUUAAAUGGGUUGCAUUGUGUGAACAGAGAAUGCAAAAAAUGCACAACUUUUGAGACGCCAUCACAUAUGUUCUGAGGCUGAUGAACUGAGGAGGUCUGGGAGCCACAUGUGACCAGCAGAAUGAGCACCGGCCUAUAGUGCAGUUUCAGUGGGAGAUGACUUUUGGGAAAGUUCCCACAGAAAUCCCAUUGUAGCAUUUCUGUUCUUACUGGGCCUGAUUUCAUUUAUUCUGAGGCUUCCUCACAUAUUUCUGGCAUUGCACUGAGACCUUAACAUGGACAUAAUGCACACUUGCAAUCUCAUUAAUGCUCUU